This is an RNA transcript of Triticum aestivum (bread wheat), 1265 nucleotides long. RefSeq lists it as uncharacterized. The transcript has 2 exons. Lineage: Eukaryota; Viridiplantae; Streptophyta; Magnoliopsida; Poales; Poaceae. The record is from RefSeq and is a predicted model, not a curated record.
GCCAUGGUAACUUGCUGCCGCUGUGCAGUGCGGGUAGACCGGUGGUUGCGCCGCCACGUUUUGCGCCUCGUGGGUUGCCUCUGCCCGGGCUGAGGACCGCGCUGCCGCACGUCGACCGAUGGCCGCCACCGCGGAGCCGCGAGACACCGUGUUUGCUGCCGGGCGUUGCCAUGCCGGGCAUCGGCCGUUGGCCACUGCCACCGCUGUGUGUUACGCACCUGGCCACCUCAUCGAAAAAGAUGCAGGCCCGGAGUGCAUCCUCUGGCACGCCGGGGCCGUGGUCCACGGCCGCCUCAGGGUGCAGCGCUGGGAGCAGCCGGGCCGAAGGAUGUCGCCGCUCCGCGAGGAGCUUAGCCGAGGGAAACAUAGUCCGGGCCAUGGGUCGCUGCCGAAGUUUGCUUUGGACGACAUUAAAAACAAUGCCCUAGAGGUUAGUAUAACGAAAUCGGAAUUGAAUCACCUGAUUGAUGUAUGAUGCAGAGUUGGUCUUUGCAUUAUUGUCAUUUUGUUGGAGAUGUGUCCCAGGGAUCUUGUAUGUUUUUUUUCUGAUCCCCUUGCCGUUCUAAUGUUCUUGACCUUUCUCUGAAUUUUGUGCUUUCUUUCUCUAUGCAUCUGGUUUCUUCCCUGAUCGAGAGACUCGCAGCGCCUGCGCCUAUGCUGCGAACGCCUCGGGUUGAUGCGGGAGGUCGAGGCCACGCAACCACACGCCGUCUGGAUGUUUUGCUGAUGGUAGUUGCGAUGGACGACGAGACUGUCAGGAUGGACGAUGGAGAAGGGGGAAAAUGUGAACAACAAGUCUGUUGGAAAGCAUGUCCAUCGAUUCUUGCCAUGGAAGGGUUAUGGUUGAUUGAAUCCCGCUGGAUGGAGUCGUCAUCGCGAGUACAGAGGCAGACGCUGGCGCUGCCGUGACUAAUGUCGCCAUCCGUGCCAAGACUCGUUGCUGCAGUCCGCCGCGCGAGAUAAAGCCGGCAGUGCUGGGAAUCGCCCGAGGCGUCAAGUAGGUCUGGCCUAAUCGUUGUGUUAGGGCAAGGUGCUGAUAACGUGUGAAAGUAAAAACGAGAUAGGGAGCAAAUGAUGGAACAGUUACUUUCAUUGAUGAAGUUUGUGGUAUAUAUACCCGGAUACAAAGACGGUUGCCAAGAGCGGUUGCCAAUAGCGGAACCGACAUAAGCAGGGAUUAUCCCUUUAAUUAAAUUAAUUAAUCAAUUCCUAACAGCCCACUUGCCAUUGUGUGCUGUCAUCGUCUUCCUCCAGAUGGUAGUCGA